GCCAACUUGUCUCAAAUAUGCUUCCAGACACUGCAAUGUUAGAAGUAGAUUCGAUGAAGAUGGAAAUCAAUUUCAACACUCUAGUGUCUCAACUAUGUUGUUCACUUGAAACUCGUGGAAUUGCAAAAGAAUCUGUAGUUGCUUGCUUGAUGGGCCUUAGCUCUCUAAAGAAGGUAUUUUGUGGAGGAAAUCAAUGUGUUUUUAGAGCUCAAAGAAAUAAUCUAGAUCAAUGCUCAACUAUCCCAGAAGUUUGGCGAAUUAUUGGUGACUAUUUUUCCUUCUUCGACUAUGAUAUUAUUGAGCAGAUAACAAGCCGAUUAGGAACGGACGAGGAUAAAGACAAUAUGAAACUUUACAAAACCAAUUUUGUUAGGUAUGCUAGGAGGCGACUAGUGAAAGGAAAUAUUAGUUCAGGCUCUGGAGAAAAUCUGAUUGUAAAGCUUGAUUCUACUUACGAUGAAUGUGAAGUGAGUCGACUGAAGCUAUUCGAGUGGAAUCUAUGCUCAAUCUUGCAUUUAAAUAAAGGUGUUUUAAAGCUUUGUAAAAUUGAUGAUGGCUGUGUCGAGCUCACAUUUUCAUUACCGAUCCAGUUCAUAACAAGUGAUAUCUUUCCGCUAAAAGCUGAUCAAGAACAUGCUCUGAAGAGUCAAGGAGUCAUCGACCUACGCUGUGGGAAUACUCAUUAUAAAGCUGAGGGCCUGAAGGGUGAAGCUGGCAAUGCGUUGCUUUCAGCACACUUCAUGGUGACUAAGUCAGAGCAGUUUGGACUGAGAAGGCCUCCCCUGUCUGUUACCAUAAAAAGUAUUCUUGAGAGGUACCCUGAUGGACAAAUCUUCAAGGAGAUGAUCCAGAAUGCCGAUGAUGCUGGAGCUACAACAGUGUGGUUCUAUGUUGAUGAGAGACAGCAUAGCACUUCCAACCUCCCUCAUCCUGACUUAGCCUUGUUCCAGGGCCCAGCUCUGAUAGCUACCAAUGAUGCCUGCUUUACAGAAGAGGACUGGGAGGGAAUACAGAGCUUGCAGCAGAGUAUCAAGGCCGAGGACCCCUUCAAAGCUGGAAGGUUUGGGAUUGGAUUCAACUCUGUCUAUCAUCUCACAGACAUGCCAAUGAUUGUCAGUGGCAAUCGCUUAGCUUGUUUUGAACCGCAAGAAAAAGUGUGGAAAGGUGAAGCUGGGCAGGCAUUCAGUCUGGCUAACCUUAUUGACCAGUCAUCUGACUUCAUCACCCCACUCAGUGGUUUGGCAGGUUUCGACAAAAACUCAGCCCGGUAUUCGCAAACUAUCUUUCGACUGCCAUUACGCACAAAAGCAUCCAGUCUCUCGGACAAAAUAUACAACAUUCAAAAGUUACAAGAGCUCCUUGAUGCUCUUAGAGAGGAGGCAAAGUAUUUGCUUUUGUUUCUGAAGUCAGUAUGCAAGAUCCAAGUAGUGCACAUCUCACAGAGUGGUCAGCACAGCACAUCCUUCUGUGUGGAAAUAGCUCCAGCUUGUCUAGCAUCAGUUAAUUCCAAGCGUGAAUUGUUCAUGCAGCAACUUCGGCAAGCUCAUUCUCAACAACCAUACUCAAUUUCCCAAGUAUUUUUUUUUACAGCUACCUUUUCUGUAAUUUUGACUGACAACAAUCAUAGGAAGAACCAAGCUGGCCAGAGCAAUUGGGUGAUAGCUAAAAGCGUCGGAUCAGGGAACUCUACAGUACAAGCAGCUGCAGCCAAACAGCGUACAUUUCCUUGGGUCGGUACAGUUUUGGAGCUAGGUACUAGUUCUGUUGGGGGUCGGAUAUUUUGUUUCCUUCCCAUGCCAAUAGAGGUUACGUCGAUCUGGACUACCGGUUCAUGUUAAUGGAACAUUUGGGCUAAACGACGAGCGACGUACUUUAAAGUGGCCGGGAAUUGAGAGAAGAAAUGAUCCUACAGCAAAUUGGAACAAGAUUCUUGUUAGUCAGCUCCUCCCACCUUGUUAUGCUAUGCUUCUAGUAGAGGCUAAAAAAUAUAUUUCUCAUGAUCAGUUCUACAAUGCCUGGCCUGAUGUGAAUACUGUAAACAACCAGUUUUCUGAGAUUCUCCGUCCUUUGUUCAGUGCGUUGUUUCAGCAAGCAGUUGUUUAUACUGAGAAGAUCGACACAAUUCCAGUUGUUGGGAACUGGAUUGUCAUCUCUCAAGCAACCUUUAUCAGUGAAAGCAGCAAGCUUCCCUCCAUUAUGAAACGAGUUCUCGCUGAUUGUGCUGUACAACUAGUCACAGUCCCUUCAAGAAUAUGGAGAGCAAUGUGUCACACUAAAGUCGGUGUCACAGAGAUGUCUCCAAUGCUAGCUCGCUCCAAAUUUCGCAACUACCCUUAAUGUUAUUCUAGCAUUGACCCUAUUGGCAAGAUGGUAAUUUUAACAUACUGUCUUUCCGACAGUUGCUACAACGAUCUAAGAGGAUUGAAUCUUCUGCCCUUAGCAAAUGGUAGCUUCACUAACUUUGAUGCAACUUCCGAACAGCAGACAGUUUUCCUUUGCUCAGAUGAUUGUCCACGAUCCUUGCUUCCUAACUUGGACCACUUACUUGUCGACGUAUCAGAUGAUACAAAGCUUCAACAAAGUCUAUAUUCUGUGGCUGCUAGUCAACAGACAAAGCUCCGGCUCCUCACUGAGAGAGAGGUUGCUCAUCUCCUUCCUCAGGCUCUACCUUCAAGCAGAAACAGUCUGGUGUCCAUUCCCCACUCUCAGAUUCCCUCCACUUGGCUUCAGACGUUCUGGAAUUGGUUGCAUAAAAAAAAUCUACAACAUUUUGUUUGUCAGCUUGUGGUUCCUUGCUACAUCUCUACCUCCAGCUCAAAAAUAAAUUUUCACCUUGCUCCUCUUCAUAGUGCACACGCUGUUAUUUAUGUCGACACGUCUUGCUCUGGAAAUUUGCUCUCUGCUCUCUACAAAAUGAAAAUCAAGGUUUGUCUACGAAGUGAAUUUAGCUAUGUAUACCAUAGGCAACUUUCAUCAAACAUAAAGAUUUUUGACACAAACAACUUAUUGGAUGCUAUAGCAUCAACAUCAAAUUACAUAGGAGUUGCUUUCACAGCUCAGGAAGCUGAUAGCAUGAGAGUGUUUCUCCUAUCUAGCACUUACACUCCUUCUAUGGUGAGAAAGAAGGUCUUAAAGAACGUUUGCAUCUUUUCAUCUGCUUUAAACUCAUCCGAAGAACUGUUUUCUGUUAACACAGCAGAAUCAAAAUCAGUAACACAGCAGGCAAUAGGAGAACCUAACAGAUGUGCUUUCAAUGUUGCAAACCUGCCUUCAAACCUAAUUAUUCUGUCCCGGGGAAACCAUUAUCAGCUACAGCUAUUGCAAUCUCUAAGCAUUCCAUUUGUAUCUGAUUUCAGACUUCUUGUCAAUCAUGUGUUCCCGCUCAUUAAAAGCAAGUCUUUUCCUGACCACCUCAUUGACAAGCUAAUGCCAGAAGUGUUGGACAUGUUCCAAGUCCUCAACUCCAGAGAGUACAAUAUGGCCAGUUACCUUCAGAGCUUGCAAUUCGUAAAAACAAGUAAUGGACGAAAGACUCCUUCUGAACUAUUCACUCCUUUUGAUACUGAUAUUUUGGCUUUGUAUAGCGGAGAAGAUGUAUUCCCUCAGUCUCCUUACAACACGAAAGGAAGAGUUCAAACUUUACAAACCUGUGGUCUCUGUGUCGCAGUCACCCCACAACGAGUCCUUGACAUUAUCUACUCCAUUAGUUGUUCUUGCAGCUCAAAUCCACAACGUGUUGACAGCUUAAAGCUGAGCCGGGCCAAGGCAGUGCUUAAAUACAUAAGCACAUCUACUUUUUAUAACCAAACUGGUGGAAGGUAUGUAAUAGCUAAUGAUCAUUAUCAAAGCUAUACCUUCUCGACUGCUCUCAAGUAUCUAGCUACCAGCUGGAGCUGGCUCCCAAUUGUCAGUGAUAAGCCGUCUGGUUAUCCUGAAGAGAUUUCAUGGAAAGGACACGGCCUCAACUCACAUUUUAUCUCUCUGAGCAAUUCGAUGGUUUUAUCACCUUCAACUGAAAACACUAUUCCCUGCCUAGUGGGCUCACAGGUCUACAUUGUGUUCCCUGCAGUUGCCGAUCUAAUUGCCAAUAUGUUACCAGCUGACUCUAACAGUCUCUCACAGAAUGUGGUCGCUCACUAUAAAGAGAUACUCUUGCACAAGGAUCAACUCUCUGCUGAUGUUAUGAACUCGCUUGUUCUUCAAGUGUAUGACUACAUGAAUAGUCGAGGUGUCUCCUAUCUUGCUUCGUUGUACUCUAUCACAGAGUGGAUUUAUAUCAAGAAAGAGAGGAAGUUUAUAGCACCAGAUAUAGUAGCUUUUAAGCUAAACUCCACCUUCAAGAGUGAUCUUCAACCGUACAUCUACAUUCUACCCGACAUUCUGUCUCAAUACUCAACACUUUUUGGCUCAGCUUCUAGAGUCGCAACGACUGUUAGUCAAGCCCAGAUCGUUUCCGUUCUCAAAAUGAUCAAGGACGAUGUACAAACUAAUGCUAUUGAUGCUUGGAGUACGAUCAUGAACAUUCUAAACUGGCUCACAAACAAUGGAAAUAAGAAAGUUCCUGACGAAGUCAUGCCAGAAGAUGUUCUGAUACCAGUAGAGACAGAGUCUGAAUUGCCUCAGCUAGUUCAAGCUUCGGAGGUUGUGUACACGGACAAUAAAUUCCUCAAGGAUUACCUGCAAUCGUCAGAAGAAAAGGACUCCUACCAAUUUGUGCAUAACCACAUCUGCUAGCAUGGCACAUAACCUUGGUGCAGUUUCAUUGUCAGAGUUUUUGAAUACUUCUGAGGACACUUUUGAAGAUGCUGGUCAACACGAACCACUCACCACUCGAUUGAAGAAUAUCCUCCGAGAUUACAAAGAUGGACUCACUAUUAUCAAGGAACUACUGCAGAACGCUGAUGAUGCAGAGGCUACGGAAGUGAACAUUUGCUAUGACGCUAGGCAGCAUGAAACAAAUCCAAAGAAACUGUUUUUCUCAGGAAUGGCAGAAGCUCAUGGUCCUGCGUUAAUUGUUCAUAACAACAAGAGUUUUUCUGAAGAUGAUUUUACUAACAUCACAAAACUAGCUGGAGCAACCAAGGCCAACAAAGUGUUAAAGAUUGGCAAGUUUGGAAUCGGUAUUUGUUCUGUGUACCACAUGACAGAUAUACCAUCAUUUGUUAGUCGAGACAAACUAUAUAUUUUUGAUCCAACACUAUCCUACCUAAGAAAAGAGAUAAAGAAUUUUUCUCGGCCAGGUAAGAAAAUUCUUUUCACGAGUAAGUUCAUUGCGAAUUCGCGUCAGCUCUCACCUUAUGAUGGCUUGUUUGGAUUUGAUCGAUCUAAUUACGAAGGGACAAUAUUUAGACUUCCAUUCAGGAUACACCCUAGUGAGCUUAGUUCUACCUGCUAUUCAAAUUCAAUAGUCCAGAACCUUAUAUCUGCCAUUAAGAACAGUAGCUCGACUCUAUUGCUUUUUCUACAGCACGUGAGAACUAUUACAUUCCAAACGAUCAGUCAUGGACAAAACACGCCAGAGAUUUUGUUGAAAAUCACUCGAGAGCGUAUUGAAGCACCAAUUCAACUCCAUGCUGGUACAGAGAUUAGAGAACUAACUUGCUUCGAUUCUCUCUCUAAUGAAUCAAACAGCUGUCAUUGGCUCAUAUCACAAGAAAGUGAGACUGAUGAUUACUCCCAACAAUACUUCACUGCAUCAGUCUCUUGUCCACUGGGCACUCCUGGUAGCUACAGUGUGGAUGCAGAAUUCCAAGGAGAGAUAUUUUGUUUCCUACCCCUCUCUCAGAAGACUGGCCUACCAGUACAUUUAAGUAGCAACUUUGCUGUGAUCAAUAAUCGCAGGGGGAUCUGGACCUCAGACGAAGCCACCUCACUUACAGGCAGUGAAGUCACUUGGAAUGUUUUACUAAUGCAAGGGGUAAUUCCAAGAGCUUAUCAUGCACUUUUGAUAGCAUUGAAAGGAUUGAAAAACAACCGUUAUAUCAAGAGCUAUAAUUUCCAUGUUUUGUGGCCGCAAAAUGAAAAAUUAACCCAGCAUAAUCCAUGGACGUAUAUGAUAUCAAAACUGUUUGCACUGAUUUCAUCUGACCAACUAUUUUACUCGGAAUACCUGAAACAAUGGUUACAUGGCUAUCAAAGUAGAUUUCUUGUUCCUGGAAUCUUGUGUCAAUUAUCUUCAACUCCUAAAUGUGUUAUUGAAGUUGUUAAGUAUCUAAACCAGCCAAUUAUUGAUCUACCCAUCAUAUUCCAUUCUUAUUUCAAUUUAAAAGAAGUUACAAUUGAUGAACCUGCUUUCACUAAACUGUUUUUCCAAAACUUGAGCUCUCUUGAGUCAAUUCUCAGCACUCGCUCUGAAGUCAUUCAGUGCAUGCUUGAGCUGUAUGCAGCUGAGUAUGAUGAUGAAACAGAACGGAGCUACUUGUUAAAUGAUUAUUUCAAGAAUUAUGCCUCCAUACCAUGCACACCGGAUGGAAAAGUCCUCAGAAAAUGCACUGAAGUUGUUGACCGUGAUGCAGACUUUGCCCCCCUGUAUGAUAAGUCUGAUAGCUAUUUUCCUAGUGACGAACUAUCAGAAAGGCAUCUUUCUAGGACAGCAUUACUUAAACUUGGCAUGAUUAGUGAAGCUAUUCCAUAUGAUAUGCUUGUAGAGCGUGCUCGUAGUAUUCCAACUCGGUAUUAUUUCGACAAAACCAAAGCGUUAAAGUGUGCAAAACUUGUUCUGUCAUCAUGCACUAAAUUUGAAGUCUUGCCAAAGUACGCUAAAUCUCAAAGUGUGUCAUACCAAAGAGCCAGCAGUGGGGAGCUAUCCUCCAUUCCGUUUUUACCAGUGCUCCCAAAACCGACAGGAUACCUUCUUCCAUGGAAAGGAGAUGGGCAUGAACUUCUGUGUGAUAAAGACUUGAUGAUUGUAGGCAAUGAUAUGCAUAGAGAAAUCACCGGUAUCAAUCCUAAUCUUGCUGGGUCUCAAGUUGCAUUUUUGAAUGAAGCUAUUGUUGAAAAUGGAGGCUGUGGGUAUAUUAACAAAGACAGUCUUUUCGUGAUGAGCAUACGGAAGUCACCUUCCAUGGAUGAAGAUAUUGCACAACUUGCUGAAAUACAACGAGUUUUUGUAUCUCAACCCCUCACAGAAGAAUUGGUAGAAACCAUUGAUAGAAUGUGCCACCAAGUGUAUGGUUUCCUUGACAAACAACUUGAACCUGAUCUUGAUUCAAAAGAGAGUUCAUCAGAUUAUAUUCAGAAGGAUAUUCAGCACUUGAAAGUAUCAUCUGUAUGGACUGGUAAGCAGUUUGUGAGUAAGGAGGUUGUUGGAAGUGGCUGUACCAUUGAUGGUCCUUAUCUGUACAAAAUACCUGCAAGUAUAUUAUCGAGAAAACGUUUGAUUGAAUCUUUGCAGAUCAAGAAACAAUUUUGCUUGAAAGACAUUGAGAAAGCUCUUAAAGCUAUGAAGAAAGAUUUCAAAGAUCAGCCAGUAGAUGAGCGUUGCCAGAUUGUUUUACAUUUUAUUGUUACUUUACUUCACCAAGUAAAAUUAAACGUAGCCCCCACACUUAUGCUUCCUGAUGAACAUUUCGUUUUACGCGAUUCAAACAAACUGGUCUACAACGACGCACCCUGGUCACCACGGGACCCUAAACAAACUUAUGUACAUGGCAUCAUCCCACUAACUCUGGCAAUUAAGCUGGGUGUGGAGCUAAGAAGAAGCAAAAUACUUGAGAAAUUUGUGGCCACUUCCAGUCAACAUUGUCAAUUUCAGAGUGUUGAAUUUGCCCAGCAUGAGGAACUAACCAGUAGGAUUCAAAACAUCAUAAGAGAUUAUCCGUUGCAUAUUACAAUCCUUAAAGAGCUACUACAGAACACUGAUGAUGCCAAAGCAACUAAAAUGUAUAUAAUUUUGGAUAUGCGGACCCACGGAAAACAAGGAGUAUUAUCACAGAAUUGGGGUAAACUACAAGGCCCAGCUCUUUUGGUGUGGAACGAUAGUGUCUUUGCAGAGAAAGAUAUUUGGGGUAUACAGAAGCUGGGGUUUGGUAGUAAACGCACUAAUUAUGAAAGCAUUGGUCACGGCAACGGUUUCAGUGUAGUUUACCACCUCACUGAUUGCCCUAGCUUCAUCACUGGAGGAGAAACAAUGUGUGUACUGGAUCCACACUGUAAGUAUGUGCCUGGAGCUAAUGUGCUCUCUCCAGGACGAAGAUUUGAUGGUUUGAGUCAGAGAUUCUGGGAAUUGUUUCCUGAUAUGAGCUCCGCUUUUCUGCAGUCUGGCCUUGAAAAUUGCCCUCCUGAGCUUAGUGGUGGCUCUUUAUUUCGAUUUCCUUUGAGACACACAAAAGAACAUUUACUAGACUCAAAAAUUAUCCCUAGACACAAGAAUGGAACUCCUGUUGGUGAACCUAUAACAUCUAGAACCAUGCUUAAAAUGCUAGAAGAAUGGGCACCCAUUGCGAAAGAAGCAAUGCUUUUUCUUAACAAUGUUACAAAACUAAAAUUCAUGGUUAUAGCAGAAAAUGGGAACACUAUAAACAUCACGAAAAUGUAUUGCACUGAAGUAGAAGAAGUAGCACAAAAGAAGCGUCAAGAGCUCCAUAAAGCAAUGUCUAGCUUCAACAAGAAGAAAGGAAACAAAUCUCUUGUUAUCAGAUACCCAUUAACCAUCAGUGAAGUACAGUGCUCAUCUGGAAAGGAAAUUUCAACUGAAAACAAGUGGUUGAUACAACAAGGAUUAGGAGAUAUGGAGAAUGAACAACAGACAUGGAGUUUUAUUGAAGCAAUCAAGCCUAGGCACGGGAUUGCAGCUCUAUUAUCACCAUGGAAUUCACUUCCGAAUGAGGAAAAGCUCAAGGGCAAAUUGUUUUGUUUAUUGCCUCUGCCUCUGCCAGUUACAUCAAAACUACCAGUGCAUAUAAACGGACAUUUUAUUUUGAACUCAAUGAGUAGAAAUUUGUGGAGUUCUACCGAGGAGGAGAGAGAAGAUCAUCAGUCUGUUUGGAAUAAUAAACUCUUUCAAGCGAUAUCCUCUUCGUAUGCAAUCCUUCUUGAGCAUUGUCAGUCAUUUUAUGUAUCCACUGAGCCGUACCAGGCAUGGCACAUAGCAAACCAUGAUAUCAGGAAGUACUAUGAGAUUUUUCCACCCACAUAUGAAAUGGACAAACUAUUCAUAAAAUUUGCAGAGAGUGUCUAUGAAAAACUAGUUGCCCGCAACAACAACAUUUUAGCUGUAGUUGAUUACAAGGAAUACCCUGCAAGUCUUGUACCAAUGUCAACAAGAUCAAGGAAUAGUGAGUCAAAGCAAUUGCAAGUAAAUUGGCACCAUCCUAAAAGCAGUGAUCCAUCUACUCAAGUAUACUUCUGGUCUUUUGUUGAUAAACGGGGUGAACUAAGAGCGAUUAUUGAAGACAUCGGCAUGAAGUUGACAGUAGCGGGUAGCUUUAUUCAAGACCAGCUCAACCAAGCCAUAAAAGAGAGUGCUAAUAAAAUCGAAAGGACUAGCCCGCAAACAGUAUUUGAAUACUACUCAAAUUUUUGCUCUCAAACAAGCAACACGGGAAAAUUCCCAUGUGGAAUUAGUGACACUGUUUUCAGAGAUACUUCUACAUUCAAACUUUUCACUGAAUACCUCCUAGGUGCAAGCAAACUAAUUGCAGAUGGGUCCUCAAGGACUAUAACCAGCCCUACUGAGCAGUUGAAAUUCCCAAAAGAACCUUUUGGCCAACCCCUUCUCUUAACAGCUGAUGGUAUAUUGAGAAGAUUCCAUCAACAUACAAAGGUUGUCAAAUCUAACUUUUCUGAUCUUUUUCCUGAUAGUCAAGACUGUUUUCUCCACCCUGUACUGAUCAAAGUUUUGUAUAGCAGCAACUACUUUAUUGUAUGUGUACAUUUAUCAGACAAUGCGUAUAGUCUAACCCUUUUCGACAAGCUUUUAAGCAAUCACUUACCUAACUGCCUCAGAACAAAUCGAGUAAUUCAGUUUCCCCAAAGUCUGCCAAGGAAACUAUUGAUCAGAUACUGGAAUUGUUUUUCAGAGGAUCCAGUUUUUAGUUUCAAUAUGCCUCACAUUUUGAAAGAAUGGGCUCUUCUUCCGAGUAUCACAGGCAGUUUACAUUCCUUCAGUGACACUCUUAUACCAAUCGUUCCCAUUUCUAUGCAGGAGGAUGGGGAAUAUCUUAAAAUUUAUCAGGUCCUACAACACAUCGGCAUACCAGUUUUGGACACAAACGUAGUUGGUUCUGCUUACCUGUCUUGUCCAACUGUAAAAGAUACUGCAGCUAUUCUGAAAAUAUUGUUCCAUUUAAAUCAAGAGAUUGAGAAGGAACUAUCUGUGGUAAUCGACAAAGAAAUGAUUGGUAUUAUCAUUUCCUACCUCAGUAACAUUAACUUCAGAACUGACUUAAACAGCCUUAGCCAUAUAAGGUCUCUUCCUCUAUUUGAGUGUGUUGAUGGCGUUUUCAGAGCAUUACAACGUAAAACUGCAUAUGUUUGGCCAAGCAAUGCUUGUGAGGUGGGAUAUUCUGAAUGGAACAAGUACACUCCAAAUGCUGUCUUCCUGCACGGACGUGGUUCCUGGACAGAUUUUGGCGCUCCAGAGGAACUUGAAGUAAAUGUUGUCACUGCAGAAGAUCUUUACUGCAUCUUUAUCUUCGAAUUUUUCUCCUAUAUCAGCGAGAUGAACAGGUAUGAACAUCUAAGAUAUAUUAGAGUCACCUUGCUCGACAAAAAUGUGAUUUACAAGAAAAUCAAAUCCAAGUGUGAAACAGAAAACAUAGCAAGGGCUAAACGAUUUCUUAAAAAAUUAGGUUCACUCCGCUGUAUUGGUAUAGACAAAUUGCUGCCAGUUAACAGCUACUGCAAUCAUGAGAUUGACAUAUUUCUUACUUUCCACAAACACUUUUCAUUUCUCCCUGAAUAUUUCAGGAGCUCUCCAUCAUGGACUGAAUGGCUAGCUUUCUUCAAAGAGCUCGGAUUGAGGUGCACAGUCAAUCACACUGAGUUUCUCGAGUUCUGCAAAGAAAUUGCAGGAGGAAAUCACAAGGACAUUGUAAAAACUUCGACAGUUCUCCUUCAAUAUUUAUCGUCUGACAGUGCUAAGGAAGCAAAAUGGCACAGUGACGAUUAUUUCCUACAUCAAGUGGCAGAGAUACCAUUUGUGCCUACUCAAAUCCAUCCAGAAGUGACAUGGAUCAGUAGCGCAAAAUGUGGAUCAAACAAUAUAGUGAUGAACAGGCGCAUGUGCUCCCUCACCAAACUCAGUGAAGCUGCCAUUACAAACUGUACACCUUUCUUGUGGACUGUAAAGCCGAUAGUUAAUCUUCCUGAAAAUUGGAGUCCGUUGACUUAUAGUGAACACCGCCUAUUAGCAGAUAAACUAGGCAUUACAUGUGAUCCUACAGUUGAUCAUGUAAUCAAAAACAUGCAGAAUUAUUAGUGCUAAGAAACGAUUCAGCAACUUUCAAAACUUUGAUCAAUAUCCAGAUUCCAACAUACCUACUUCUGAUCAAGCCACGUCACUUAUGUCAGUGAUUGUACAAAACCUGACAUUGCUAGAAACGAAACAGGACGAUGUUAACGAUGCUCACAUACAGCUAUUGAGAGAUAUGCAUUGCAUUCCGGUGUAUAGUACAUUCGAGAUGACACACAAGCAUCAUAAUAGUCCUUGUGAAGCCUUGCAGUGUCUUGCAUUACAGUGCAAUUUCAACAGAUAAAUAUCAUCCGUUCCUUCAAAUACUUGAUAGCCAGCUAGAAUGUCUAAAGUUCAUACUUCAGCAGAUUGGAGUCGAGUCUUCAAUUGGUUAUAAUCACAUUCAAUUAGUUCUUCAAAAAGCCUAUGAACUUUCUGCUGGGCAGGUACUAGAACAGAAAACAAGGAAAUGUGUAUUUGCAAUAAUUAAAGAGCUCAUUGAGUUGCUGAGUGUUAAAUCAUCCAGUGUUUUAGUUUCAAAAGGGAGUGAGACCCUCUCUCCUCUGUAUUUACCUAAUGAUAACACAACACUAGUCCUCUCAACACAAUUGCUAUAUGUUGACGCUGACACAUUUUUGGGCAGAUUUCAUUUUGAGGAAACCUGCUAUUCCCUUCUAAAGAUUAGAACAAAAGACAAUAAGAUCCAACUUUUCGAGAGAGAUUUCUGUGAAAUGCUGUCACUCACUGUUCGUCCUAUCGGCUUAUCUAAAGUUUGUAUCUUAAAGGUUCAGCCGGAGUGUGAACCCAUUGACCAUACAGAUGCAGGCAAUGAUUUGAUUAAAACGUUUGAAAUGAACAACAUUCUGCCACAGGCAGUUUCUGCAUGCGUGCGCUAUUACACCAAGGCCAAGCAACCUCUGCAGAAUGUAGAAUCUAUUGUUAGGGAGUUUUUGGCCAGCACAGCAAUACAAACCUUUCGCCAUUUGCGAAUGGUUGUCACUUUUAAAGAGAACCAAAAAUUGAUUGGUAAUUUGGACACAAAGUUUUACUUAGAGACAACAGGAGACACUCCCGACGGAUGCUUAUACCUGGACUCACAGUUGGCCAAGAAUAUUCACCAAGUGGUACGGGCUUUGUGCAACAGAUUAUUUCAGCUAAUUAUAAGUAAACUAAAACAACCACAGCUAAUUACUGAUGAUGUGUGUCCCAAAUUGAAGGAUGUGCUUGUUCAGCUCUUAAGUGUCCAGAAUCCCCAUGAAGUGAAGGAUAUUUUAGAGGUAAAUAGAAUUCCACUGACUGAAGAAAGAAUGAGCGAGGUCACGUUCAAACUGAGUAAAGAAGUUGCAGAGUGCUGGCAUCAUAGACUUGAUCAAGCAGUUGAGAAUGUAUUUCAUCCUGGAGAGAUUGUUGGAUAUGAAGUAAUGGAGAACCUCAUUGUUUACGUCGAGGUUAUGUACCCUAUUUUGCCCAAAGGGUGUGAAAGUUUUGAUGUCAUCCCUCGAAUCAGUAUGAAAUACAAAAUAUUGACACACCAAGAUGAUGAAGAAGGAAUCGAAGUAGGUGUACUUAAGCUCUACAAAUUCCUCAGAGGUUUGAAGAAAGAAAAGAUUCUUGCAGAAGGGACAGAUGUUGUACCAUAUGGGGGUGAAACAGACAUGGACACGAUUAAUUUGCAUCAAGAAGUGCAGAGCAAGAAUCUUAAAAAGAUUGAAGAUGUUCUAUUAUGUCAACUUGAUGAGAUAUGGAAGCUACCAAAAGAAGAGAGAAGGAAAGCUGUUAGACGUCUUUGUCUUAAGUGGCAUCCUGACAAGAACCUCGAUGAUUCAGCUGUGACUGAAGAGGUGUUUAAGUUUCUAAAUUCUGAGAUAUCAAAAAGAGAUGUGGACAAAAAUAUUAACCUGCAAUGGGAGGAUCUCAACAAAACAGUGCAGCGUCAAAGAGAAAGUUACACAAGAGAGCAAGAGUCAUCGUCCCGAUCCCAGGUAGGGGGAGGAGGGAUUAGUAUAGAUACUAUAGUAUCUAUGCAUUGUGCAUCACUUUAUAAUUAUAUUCGCUAUACAAAGACUGUACUGAGUGACUGAAUCAAGGUGAGCCAUUGCUUUUAGAGCCAUGUAGCACUGUUUAUAAUAAUUAUUAUACAUUUCAUCAUUUCACAGUGUCUAUUGUGGAAUUCUGACUGGCAAGUCUAUUGCUACUGAUAUAGAUAUUAUUAUCUUAAUAUCUAUAGGCUCUACAGGAAGGGCCACAGCAAGAAACUGAGUUGACAGAUAGCUUAGUUAGCCUUUUAUCUGUCUAAAUGUGUGAAAUUAUAGUCAAUGAAUAUUCUCAUGCAUUACUAUUGAUAUUUGAAAAAUUGCAUUAUUUUCAUAUUUCACCGCGUUUUGUCUGACUGACUAAGUAAGUAAGUAAGUUAGUAAGUAAGUAAGUAAGUAAGUAACUUUCUUGGAAAGCAUUUCCUCCUUGUACAGACAUGUUCAGAAGAUUCUAGAUACAGCCUCUAGUCGACUAGAACCCGGUGUCAUAAAAUUUUAGGCCC
Halichondria panicea is the source of this 13928-nucleotide RNA transcript. It is a transcript of the gene named sacsin-like, with no coding region annotated. NCBI's taxonomy places the organism in Eukaryota, Metazoa, Porifera, Demospongiae, Suberitida, Halichondriidae. The record is from RefSeq and is a predicted model, not a curated record. The transcript has 6 exons.